UGAGGCGUCUUCUGCCAGCUCCUGAGGCUGCGGCACAGCACUCCGCCCGCCUUCAUCUCCGGGGAGAGGCUCUUUGAAUUUUCUCACUAAACAAACAUUGAUUGCAACCCCAGAAGAAACGAAGACUGAAAGAGCUGUGCUGGGGAGCAGGGGUUUUGGGGUUUCAGAGUUUUAGGGUUGCGUUUGGAUGGCGGCUCCCUGGACCAGGUGCUGAAAGAGGCCAAGAGGAUUCCCGAGGAGAUCCUGGGGAAAGUCAGCAUCGCGGUUCUCCGGGGCUUGGCGUACCUCCGAGAGAAGCACCAGAUCAUGCACCGAGAUGUGAAGCCCUCCAACAUCCUCGUGAACUCUAGAGGGGAGAUCAAGCUGUGUGACUUUGGGGUGAGCGGCCAGCUCAUCGACUCCAUGGCCAACUCCUUCGUGGGCACGCGCUCCUACAUGGCUCCGGAG
This 447-nucleotide small RNA is filed under the name Pongo abelii (Sumatran orangutan). RNAcentral describes it as "processed transcript". The record is from RNAcentral. Lineage: Eukaryota; Metazoa; Chordata; Mammalia; Primates; Hominidae.